This 881-nucleotide ribosomal RNA is filed under the name uncultured eukaryote. RNAcentral's name for it is "SSU rRNA". It matches the Rfam family "Eukaryotic small subunit ribosomal RNA", at positions 570 to 1472 of the family's 1831-position model. The record is from RNAcentral.
GCAGCCGCGGUAAUUCCAGCUCCAAUAGCGUAUAUUAAAGUUGUUGCGGUUAAAAAGCUCGUAGUUGGAUCUCGGCGGGCAGGGGGUGGUUCGCUCUUCAGCGCUACUGCCCCGCUUUGCCCGUGUGAUUGGCGGAGGUUUCGGGGUGCUCUUCGUUGAGUGACUCGGAGCGCCGUCAGGUUUACUUUGAAAAAAUUAGAGUGCUCAAAGCAGGCUUUUCACGCUUGAAUAUUCGUGCAUGGAAUAAUGGAAUAGGAACUCGUUUCUAUUUUGUUGGUUUUCGGAAAUCGAGUUAAUGAUUAACAGGGACAAUUGGGGGCAUUAGUAUUCAGACGACAGAGGUGAAAUUCUUGGACCGUCUGAAGACUGACUACUGCGAAAGCAUUUGCCAAGAGUGUUUUCAUUAAUCAAGAACGAAAGUUAGAGGUUCGAAGGCGAUCAGAUACCGCCCUAGUUCUAACCAUAAACGAUGCCAGCUAGCGAUCUGCCGAGUUUUUUUUGUAGGCUCCGCAGGAAGCUUUCGGGAAACCAAAGCUUUUGGGUUCCGGGGGAAGUAUGGUUGCAAAGCUGAAACUUAAAGGAAUUGACGGAAGGGCACCACCAGGAGUGGAGCCUGCGGCUUAAUUUGACUCAACACGGGAAAUCUCACCAGGCCCGGACACUGGAAGGAUUGACAGAUUGAGAGCUCUUUCUCGAUUCGGUGGGUGGUGGUGCAUGGCCGUUCUUAGUUGGUGGAGUGAUUUGUCUGGUUAAUUCCGAUAACGAACGAGACUCUGUCCUGCUAAAUAGUUGGGUCGUCCUUCGUGCGAUCCAAGUUCUUCUUAGAGGGACUGGCUGCGUCUAGCAGCACGAGAUUGAGCAAUAACAGGUCUGUGAUGCCC